GACGAACGCUGGCGGCGUGCUUAACACAUGCAAGUCGAACGGAAAGGCCCUGCUUUUGUGGGGUGCUCGAGUGGCGAACGGGUGAGUAACACGUGAGUAACCUGCCCUUGACUUUGGGAUAACUUCAGGAAACUGGGGCUAAUACCGGAUAGGAGCUCCUGCUGCAUGGUGGGGGUUGGAAAGUUUCGGCGGUUGGGGAUGGACUCGCGGCUUAUCAGCUUGUUGGUGGGGUAGUGGCUUACCAAGGCUUUGACGGGUAGCCGGCCUGAGAGGGUGACCGGCCACAAUGGGACUGAGAUACGGCCCAGACUCGUACGGGAGGCAGCGGUGGGGAGUAUUGCGCAAUGGGCGGAAGCCUGAUACAGCGACGCCGCGUGCGGAAUGACGGCCUUCGGGUUGUAAACCGCUUUCGCCUGUGACGAAGCGUGAGUGACGGUAAUGAGUAAGGAAGCAACGGCUAACUACGUG
RNAcentral lists this ribosomal RNA (468 nucleotides) under uncultured bacterium. Its description in RNAcentral is "partial 16S ribosomal RNA". It matches the Rfam family "Bacterial small subunit ribosomal RNA", at positions 28 to 507 of the family's 1533-position model. The record is from RNAcentral.